This 306-nucleotide ribosomal RNA is filed under the name uncultured bacterium. RNAcentral's name for it is "bacterial SSU rRNA". It matches the Rfam family "Bacterial small subunit ribosomal RNA", at positions 46 to 334 of the family's 1533-position model. The record is from RNAcentral.
AGGCCUAACACAUGCAAGUCGCACGAGAAUUGGUCUUCGGACCAUAGUAAAGUGGCGGACGGGUGAGUAACACGUGGAUAAUCUGCCCUUCGGCGGGGGACAACAGUCCGAAAGGAUUGCUAAUACCGCAUACGUCGGCAAGGUCUUCGGAUCUUGCCGGGAAAGAUGGCCUCUUCAUGAAAGCUAUCACCGAAGGAUGAGUCCGCGGCCCAUCAGCUAGUUGGCGGUGUAAUAGACCACCAAGGCUAAGACGGGUAGCUGGUCUGAGAGGAUGAUCAGCCACACUGGAACUGAGACACGGUCCAG